RNAcentral lists this ribosomal RNA (481 nucleotides) under uncultured bacterium. RNAcentral's name for it is "partial 16S ribosomal RNA". It matches the Rfam family "Bacterial small subunit ribosomal RNA", at positions 28 to 507 of the family's 1533-position model. The record is from RNAcentral.
GACGAACGUUGGCGGCGUGCUUAAUACAUGCCAGUCAACUGAAGCGGUGAUAGCAAUCUCGCUGUGAAGUUGGCGCACGAGUGAGUAACACGUAGUUGAUCUUCCUUUAAUUCUGGCAUAACUCCUGUAAGCCAGUGCUGAUAGCAGCUGAUACAACAUCUCGACAUCUGGACAGUUGUUAAAGCUAUGUCUCCUGAAGAUGAGCCUGCGUCUGAUUAGCUAGUUGGCGGGGUAACGUCCCACCAAGGCAACGAUCAGCAGAUGGUCUGAGAGGCUGAUCAGCAACACUGGAACUGAGCCACGGUCUAGACUACUAAGGGAGGCAGAAGCAAGGACUAUUGCCCAAUGCGAGACAUACUGAAGCAGCAAAGGUGAGGGAGGGCCGAAGAUCUUUUGAUUGUAAAACUCUGUAGGGAGAGAAAAAAAUGCCAAUAUGCGGGACAUGACGGUAUCUAAACAGUAAGCCACGGCUAACUACGUG